CAGUUCGGAUUGUAGGCUGCAACUCGCCUACAUGAAGUCGGAAUUGCUAGUAAUGGCAGGUCAGCAUACUGCCGUGAAUACGUUCCCGGGCCUUGUACACACCGCCCGUCACACCAUGAGAGUUGGAGAUACCCGAAGCCUAUGAGCUAACUUUUAGAGGCAGUAGUCGAAGGUAGAAUCAAUGAUUGGGGUGAAGUCGUAACAAGGUAGC
Molecule: ribosomal RNA, 211 nt
Filed under: uncultured bacterium
Lineage: Bacteria
Description: partial 16S ribosomal RNA
Rfam family: Bacterial small subunit ribosomal RNA
Source: RNAcentral